UCUAAGCUAUGUUGGAAUGUCUGGAGACAACUGCAUUCCCAUUACAUCCAGAGGGUACAGAUUGGAGAAGAUUGCUUUAUAGCAUCUAAAGUUGGGUGUGGAUGUGGCAUGUAUUUUGCUGCAACAGUUAAAUAUAUUUCCUGAGAGAUUCUAAGCUACGGGUACGCUGAACCUCUUCCUCCCUCCCACAUCCAGCUCAGUUUCCUUCAAGCAUAUUGGAAGAGCAACUUUCAGAGUUCCUAUCUGGAAUCAAUACUGAAGAAUGCCAAAUUACACAAGACUGAUUUAGAUGGCACAGACCCUGGAUGUUCCACAUAUUCAAAAAUUAUCACCAUGAAAGAACCUUCACCAGUCAUUGGCAAAGUCUCCUAGAAUUUUCUACUAAACUGAUGCAGAGAUUAAUGAUCAGGGCUAACCAAGCCAGCCCAAAGAGAAUCCACAGAGAUACCACGUUCUUAUACCAGCCUGGAAACAAGAUUACAACCAUUUAAAUAACUUGAAAAGUAAGGAACACCAUUGGAGUGAAGUUAAAAUAAGCUCCUGAUGAUAUUAUCAUCAGCAGAUCAAUCCUGUUCCAGCCUACAUAUGUAAUUCCAAUUUAAGAU
Molecule: long non-coding RNA, 605 nt
Organism: Pantherophis guttatus
Lineage: Eukaryota; Metazoa; Chordata; Lepidosauria; Squamata; Colubridae
Source: RefSeq, a predicted model, not a curated record